AGGUUUCCAGAGUAAAGCUGAUCUGCUCUAGGUAAGUCGGGGCCUAAGGCGAGGACGAGAGUCGUAGCCGAUGGACAACAGGUGGAGAUUCCUGUACUGCGGUAUGACAGAACUGUGGGGACACGUAAGGAAAGCGGAAGCCGGGAAUGGAAAGCCCGGUGCAAGCGGGGUACCAGUCACUUUGGCAAAUCCGGGUGGCAAUGGGAAUCCGUGAUGCGGAGCGAAAUAAAGUAGCGAAGUCCGUGAGCCAUGCGUCAAGAAAAGCCGCUAUUGUUUAUACCGUACCCGUACCGUAAACCGACACAGGUGGAUGAGGAGAGAAUCCUAAGGCCGGCGGAAGAAGCAUUGUCAAGGAACUCGGCAAAAUGGCCCCGUAACUUAGGGAUAAGGGGUGCCUCAGAAAUGAGGCCGCAGAGAAUAGGCUCAAGCAACUGUUUAGCAGAAACACAGGUCUAUGCGAAACCGAAAGGUGAGGUAUAUGGGCUGACGCCUGCCCGGUGCUGGAAGGUUAAGAGGAGAGGUUAGCGGUAAUGCGAAGCUUUGAAUUUAAGCCCCAGUAAACGGCGGCCGUAACGAUAACGGUCCUAAGGUAGCGAAAUUCCUUGUCGGGUAAGUUCCGACCCGCACGAAAGGCGUAAUGGUUUGAGCGCUGUCUCGACAAUGCAUCCGGUGAAAUUGAAGUACCAGUGAAGAUGCUGGUUACCUGCGCCAGGACGGAAAGACCCCAUGGAGCUUUACUCCAGUCUGGUACUGGGACUCGGUAUUGCAUGUACAGGAUAGGUGGGAGGCUAGGAGAUGGUAACGCCAGUUGCCAUGGAGCCGCUGUUGGGAUACCACCCUUGCAGUAUUGGGUUUCUAACCAGCCGCCGUGACCCGGCGGUGGGACAAUGCCAGACGGGGAGUUUGACUGGGGCGGUCGCCUCCGAAAGGGUAUCGGAGGCGCCCAAAGGUUCCCUCAGAAUGGACGGAAACCAUUCGAAGAGUGCAAAGGCAGAAGGGAGCUUGACUGCGACACCGACGGGUGGAGCAGGUACGAAAGUAGGGCUUAGUGAUCCGGUGGUAUUAAGUGGGAAUGCCAUCGCUCAACGGAUAAAAGCUACCCUGGGAUAACAGGCUUAUCACUCCCAAGAUUCACAUCGACGGAGUGGUUUGGCACCUCGAUGUCGGCUCAUCGCAUCCUGGGGCUGUAGUAGGUCCCAAGGGUUGGGCUGUUCGCCCAUUAAAGCGGUACGCGAGCUGGGUUCAGAACGUCGUGAGACAGUUCGGUCCCUAUCCGGCGUGGGCGUAGGAUAUCUGAGAGGAGCUGUCCUUAGUACGAGAGGACCGGGAUGGACGGGCCGCUGGUGCAUCGGUUAGACUGCCAAGUCUACGGCCGAGUAGCCAAGCCCGGAAGGGAUAAACGCUGAAGGCAUCUAAGCGUGAAGCCCCCCUUAAGAUGAGAUAUCCCAUUCGAAAGAAGUAAACCCCCUUGAAGACGACGAGGUAGAUAGGGCAGAGGUGGAAGUGCAGCAAUGCAUGGAGCUGACUGUUACUAAUCGGGUGAGGGCUUGACC
RNAcentral lists this ribosomal RNA (1553 nucleotides) under metagenome. RNAcentral's name for it is "bacterial LSU rRNA". It matches the Rfam family "Bacterial large subunit ribosomal RNA", at positions 1348 to 2925 of the family's 2925-position model. The record is from RNAcentral.